Molecule: long non-coding RNA, 4676 nt
Organism: Salvelinus fontinalis (brook trout)
Lineage: Eukaryota; Metazoa; Chordata; Actinopteri; Salmoniformes; Salmonidae
Exons: 3
Source: RefSeq, a predicted model, not a curated record
CCUGGUUUGUUCGUGCUGGAAGCCCAGAGCGUGGAGAGUCUCGUGCUGAAUGACCCCGAAGUAAACGCAGCCGUCCAUUUGGAGAGAGACCGUCUGUUGGCCUCCCACUCUCCCAAGAGAGGACCAGCAUCCGUCUCUGGGCUCGUAGCUGAUGAAGUCAACCUGAUUCUGACGAGGCACGAAGCGAAUGCAGGUCUUGGAAGGGAAGGCCCGGAGGGCAUUCUCAAUGAUCUGCUUGUUAGAGGAACUGAAGCUACUGCUCACUGUGUAGGGCACUUCAACCAAUCCGUCAGUGCCUUUUUUCCAGAAGCACCCUGCACUGUAAAAUAACAUUUAGCUGGUUAGUCAAUUAUAUCUGAAAAUACAAUUAUUUUGACAUAAAAAAAUAUAUUCGUUAAAUUAAAGUAUGUAUAUAUAUCAACAUAAGAUGCAUGUAAAAACAACUCCAAAGGGAACUGUGUUUCAUUUCCCCUCAAUUUACUAAUUUUAAGUUCCAGCAACAACUUGACACCUGUCUCUGUUUUUAGAGGAUUGUGGGUAAUUCCACAUUCUUUGACUUUAUACUACUUCUACACAAUGUUGUAUACAUAUUUUGAAGGCAGAAAAUUAUAUUUCUGUAUUAGUAUUUAGGUAACUUUCUGAAACAUUAAAAGUGAAGUAUAUUGUACAUAAAAAUACCUAAUCUUGGAAAUACUCAAAAAAGCUGAUGCAGAUAGAUGUAAAAGUAGAAUUCAUACAAUAUUGUUGUUAGUGUGUGUUGGUUGUACCUAAAGCAAACCAUGGCAUUUCUGGUUGUUGGCGCCACCAUGUCUCCCUCCAACAGAAACUGACUGGAGCCGUUAUUGGUGGUCAGAAUUCUCUCAGUGAUGUCUACAUCCUCAGGGUCGUCUGUUAGGAUCUCUGGUCCACUUCCGUCCUCCAUGAGAGGGUUGGCCUGAGAGAGGCCCAGCAGCAGCAGCAGCAGCAGGGUCAGAGAGGGGCUUUGCUCCAUCUUCAGUGUGUGGAGAGGAGAGACUCUGGAUGGCUCCUUGGAUCUGACAGUGGAGAGACUCUAGAUGGCUUCUUGGUCCUGGAGAUGCUUUGGAGCGGCUUGAUGUGUGAUUCUGUCUGGUCAGUCCUGGGCUUUUUAUACAGUCCUCUACAGGUGUGUCUGCUGGAGGAUUAUGGUUUGGGGUCCAUGUUGUUAGUCCUAAAUAAACCUCUGAAGGGAGGGUUCCACCACCACACCUACAGUUUCAACAUGGUUUUAAUCCAUACAGGUCCAUUUACACCUGGCCAUGCCUACUCAACAAACACGUCACACACUAAUGUCAUGACAGUUUAAUCUACUACAAUGAUGUGGAGAGGAACGUUUAAACUUUUUAAUGUUUAUUUGUCACCUGCACAGGACACAGCAGGUGUAAAACAGUACAUUGAAAUAUUUGCAGCUCUUAAUUAAGUAAUAUAGAUUUUAAAAACACAGGAAUAAUCUAGAUAAUAAAACAGUAAUUUUAUUUUAAUUAAAUUUUUUAUUCAACUGUUCUGCCUGCGGCUAUGGAACCCUGACCUGUUCACCGGACGUGCUACCUGUCCCAGACCUGCUGUUUUCAACUCUAGAGACAGCAGGUGCGGUAGAGAUACUCUGAAUGAUCGGCUAUGAAAAACCACCUGACAUUUACUCCUGAGGUGCUGACUUUUUGCACCCUCAACACCUACUGUGAUUAUUAUUAUUUGACCAUGCUGGUCAUUUAUGAACAUUUUGAACAUCUUGGCCAUGUUCUGUUAUAAUCUCCCCCCGGCACAGCCAGAAGAGGACUGGCCACCCCUCAUAGCCUGGUUCCUCUCUAGGUUUCUUCCUAGGUUUUGGCCUUUCUAGGGAGUUUUUCCUAGCCACCGUACUUCUACACCUGCAUUGCUUGCUGUUUGGGGUUUUAGGCUGGGUUUCUGUACAGCACUUUGAGAUAUCAGCUGAUGUAAGAAGGGCUAUAGUAUAUAAAUACAUUUGAUUUGAUAAUAAUCUAGAUUAUAAACAUUGUAAUGAUAUAGAUAAUAAACACAGUAAUAAUCUAGAUAAUAAACACAGUAAUAAUCUAGAUAAUAAACACAGUAAUAAUCUAGAUAAUAAACACAGUAAUAAUCUAGAUAAUAAACACAGUAAUAAUCUAGAUAAUAAACACAGUAAUAAUCUAGAUAAUAAACACAGUAAUAAUCUAGAUAAUAAACAUUGUAAUGAUAUAGAUAAUAAACACAGUAAUAAUCUAGAUAAUAAACAUAGUAAUAAUCUAGAUUAUAAACAUUGUAAUGAUAUAGAUAAUAAACAUUGUAAUGUUAUAGAUAAUAAACACAGUAAUAAUCUAGAUAAUAAACAUUGUAAUGAUAUAGAUAAUAAACAUUGUAAUGAUAUAGAUGUCACGUUCGUCGUAAUGAUUGGACCAAGGCGCAGCGUGCGUAGAGUUCCACAUCUUUUAAUUCAUAGACACUCAGCAGAACAAACAAGCACAAAGGAAAUGUGAAGCUACUGGUGAAGCUACACAGGCAACUAUCCGUAGACAAGAUCCCACCAAACACAAAAUGAAUAAAUGGCUACCUAAAUAUGAUCCCCAAAAUCAGAGACAACGAUAAACAGCUGUCUCUGAUUGGGAACCAUAUCAGGCCAACAACACCCCUAGACAUACAACACCCCUAGAUGACCCACCCUAGUCACUAUCACGCUCCAACCGACAGAGAAUAAACAGCUUACUAUGGUCAGGUCGUGACAAUAGAUAAUAAAAACACUGUAAUUAAAUAGAUAAUAAACUGUAAUAAUAUAGAUAAUAAACACUGUAAUAAUAUAGAUAAUAUAGAAUAAAAACAGGUUACGGUGUAAUGGCAGGUCUGUAGUUAGGGUGUAACGGCAGGUCUGUAGUUAGGGUGUAAUGGCAGGUCUGUAGUUAGGGUGUAAUGGCAGGUCUGUAGUUAGGGUGUAAUGGCAGGUCUGUACAGGUUAGGGUGUAAUGGCAGGUCUGUAGUUAGGGUGUAAUGGCAGGUCUGUAGUUAGGGUGUAAUGGCAGGUCUGUAGUUAGGGUGUAAUGGCAGGUCUGUAGUUAGGGUGUAAUGGCAGGUCUGUAGUUAGGGUGUAAUGGCAGGUCUGUAGUUAGGGUGUAAUGGCAGGUCUGUAGUUAGGGUGUAAUGGCAGGUCUGUAGUUAGGGUGUAACAACAGGUCUGUAGUUAGGGUGUAAUGGCAGGUCUGUAGUUAGGGUGUAAUGGCAGGUCUGUAGUUAGGGUGUAAUGGCAGGUCUGUAGUUAGGGUGUAAUGGCAGGUCUGUAGUUAGGGUGUAAUGGCAGGUCUGUAGUUAGGGUGUAAUGGCAGGUCUGUAGUUAGGGUGUAAUGGCAGGUCUGUACAGGUUAGGGUGUAAUGGCAGGUCUGUACAGGUUAGGGUGUAAUGGCAGGUCUGUAGUUAGGGUGUAAUGGCAGGUCUGUACAGGUUAGGGUGUAAUGGCAGGUCUGUAGUUAGGGUGUAAUGGCAGGUCUGUAGUUAGGGUGUAAUGGCAGGUCUGUAGUUAGGGUGUAAUGGCAGGUCUGUAGUUAGGGUGUAAUGGCAGGUCUGUAGUUAGGGUGUAAUGGCAGGUCUGUAGUUAGGGUGUAAUGGCAGGUCUGUAGUUAGGGUGUAAUGGCAGGUCUGUAGUUAGGGUGUAACAACAGGUCUGUAGUUAGGGUGUAAUGGCAGGUCUGUACAGGUUAGGGUGUAAUGGCAGGUCUGUAGUUAGGGUGUAAUGGCAGGUCUGUAGUUAGGGUGUAAUGGCAGGUCUGUAGUUAGGGUGUAAUGGCAGGUCUGUAGUUAGGGUGUAAUGGCAGGUCUGUACAGGUUAGGGUGUAAUGGCAGGUCUGUAGUUAGGGUGUAAUGGCAGGUCUGUAGUUAGGGUGUAAUGGCAGGUCUGUAGUUAGGAUGUAAUGGCAGGUCUGUAGUUAGGGUGUAAUGGCAGGUCUGUAGUUGGGGUGUAAUGGCAGGUGUGUAGUUAGGGUGUAAUGGCAGGUCUGUAGUUAGGGUGUAAUGGCAGGUCUGUAGUUAGGGUGUAAUGGCAGGUCUGUAGUUAGGGUGUAAUGGCAGGUCUGUAGUUAGGGUGUAAUGGCAGCUCUGUACAGGUUAGGGUGUAACGGCAGGUCUGUAGUUAGGGUGUAAUGGCAGGUCUGUAGUUAGGGUGUAACGGCAGGUCUGUAGUUAGGGUGUAAUGGCAGGUCUGUAGUUAGGGUGUAAUGGCAGGUCUGUAGUUAGGGUGUAAUGGCAGGUCUGUAGUUAGGGUGUAACGGCAGGUCUGUAGUUAGGUUGUAAUGGCAGGUCUGUAGUAACGGUGUAACGGCAGGUCUGUAGUUAGGGUGUAAUGACAUGUCUGUAGUUAGGGUGUAAUGGCAGGUCUGUAGUAACGGUGUAACGGCAGGUCUGUAGUUAGGGUGUAACGGCAGGUCUGUAGUUAGGGUGUAACGGCAGGUCUGUAGUUAGGGUGUAACGGCAGGUCUGUAGUUAGGGUGUAAUGGCAGGUCUGUAGUUAGGGUGUAAUGGCAGGUCUGUAGUUAGGGUGUAAUGGCAGGUCUGUAGUUAGGGUGUAAUGGCAUGUCUGUAGUUAGGGUGUAAUGGCAGGUCUGUACAGGUUAGGGUGUAAUGGCAGGUCUGUAGUUAGGGUGUAACGGCAGGUCUGUAGUUAGGGUGUAACGGCAGG